GGAGCUGCGGAAGGAGGGCGGCCCUGAACACGCCGCCGCCUCUGCCCGCUGGGCGACGCUGCUCCGAGGGAGCCGUUGCCCGCGGCUGCGGGCGGAUGCCUGUCUAUGGUGCUGGAGUUGAUGACGAACGUUUCCAAGCUGCCGCUAUUUUUCACUCUAAUAACGCGCUUCGGUUCUGCAAGCCGAAAGGAAUCGGAGCAACCCAGAUCCUAAAGAAAACUAUUUUCCACUCGGAUUGGCUACAGCGGGUUGUUUCUGGAAGGCCGACUUCUUCCUGAUUUUUAUUUUACCGUUGAAACACCAAAACCCGCGUAAAGUAUAAAAGUUUUUGCGGUUGACCAAUCAGCCAGAACAUGAAGUCCACAUGGCAGGGACUUUUAUUUGGCUAACUGCUAUAUCCUCAGCUCCUAGACAAGCGCUUGACACUUGAGAGAUACUGAAUGUGCAUGUCUGGAGCUCCAGGACCACCUGCAUGCUUACUGAUUCUCUAGGAGUCACAGGAUUCAGAAUAUCAUCCGAGAGACAACAAAGAUUUGAUGCAGCAAAAGGCUACCCAGCACAGGGAGCCAAGGAGAAAGACACAGGGAGCACAAUCCUGGGAAACCCAGCAAAAGCUUCCAAGGAUCCUUUCCCACUGGAAUUACCCAGGAUUCACUUCAUUCCUCCAGCAGCAAGUUAUGACCACAGUUCUGAAGAGUUUCCCACCAGGGAAGUUCAUGAAUACUUGGGCCCUUUUGCUCAAAGCCUGGUCACACAGGUACUUCUGCCUAAUUCCAGACCCCGGGGAGGAGAGCAUGUGUUCACAUAUUGUCUACAUGAGCAGUUCAGGCACAGGAAGGCUUUCUUAUCAUCUCUGGGAAUGCUGAGAACCCUCCUCAAAUCCAAAUUUCCAGACUCUAGAUCAGGGCCAAACUUGCAAGUAGGUCUGUCUAAAGAUAGCAGUCUCCGGCCUAUCAAGCUAACUCUUUUUUGCAUGAUGUGUUAAAAGAAUUUGUCACUUUUCAGUUGACAAAAAUGAAUCAUUUUAGAGCUCAUGAGUAAGAUAAGAUCAAUUAAAGAAAAUAUUUCCUUUUUUGCACACUGGAA
Chinchilla lanigera (long-tailed chinchilla) is the source of this 1086-nucleotide long non-coding RNA. RefSeq lists it as uncharacterized. The transcript is spliced from 2 exons. NCBI's taxonomy places the organism in Eukaryota, Metazoa, Chordata, Mammalia, Rodentia, Chinchillidae. The record is from RefSeq and is a predicted model, not a curated record.